UUGCGUAGGUGGCAAAGUAAGCGGGUAGUGAAAUUGUGUGGCUCAACCAUACACCCAUUAUUUGAACUGCUUAGCUAGAGCAUGGGAGAGGUCACUGGAAUUUCUAGUGUAGGAGUGAAAUCCGUAGAUAUUAGAAGGAACACCGAUGGCGUAGGCAGGUGACUGGCCCAUUGCUGACACUAAGGCACGAAAGCGUGGGGAGCGAACG
Molecule: ribosomal RNA, 208 nt
Filed under: uncultured bacterium
Lineage: Bacteria
Description: partial 16S ribosomal RNA
Rfam family: Bacterial small subunit ribosomal RNA
Source: RNAcentral